UACAACGGCAGUAAGACUUUU
RNAcentral lists this microRNA (21 nucleotides) under Monodelphis domestica (gray short-tailed opossum). RNAcentral describes it as "mdo-miR-7262a-3p". The record is from miRBase by way of RNAcentral. Lineage: Eukaryota; Metazoa; Chordata; Mammalia; Didelphimorphia; Didelphidae.